AUCUGUUCUUGGACACUAGAUAAAAUUGAAACGAUACAGAGAAGAUUGGCAUGGCCCAUGCACAAAUCAAGAAAUGAUAAAGAGUAUCUCAUU
This 93-nucleotide small nuclear RNA is filed under the name Solanum tuberosum (potato). The record is from RNAcentral. Lineage: Eukaryota; Viridiplantae; Streptophyta; Magnoliopsida; Solanales; Solanaceae.